RNAcentral lists this ribosomal RNA (762 nucleotides) under uncultured Sordariomycetes. Its description in RNAcentral is "SSU rRNA". It matches the Rfam family "Eukaryotic small subunit ribosomal RNA", at positions 804 to 1590 of the family's 1831-position model. Lineage: Eukaryota; Fungi; Ascomycota; Sordariomycetes. The record is from RNAcentral.
UUAGCAUGGAAUAAUAAAAUAGGACGUGUGGUUCUAUUUUGUUGGUUUCUAGGACCGCCGUAAUGAUUAAUAGGGACAGUCGGGGGCAUCAGUAUUCAAUUGUCAGAGGUGAAAUUCUUGGAUUUAUUGAAGACUAACUACUGCGAAAGCAUUUGCCAAGGAUGUUUUCAUUAAUCAGGAACGAAAGUUAGGGGAUCGAAGACGAUCAGAUACCGUCGUAGUCUUAACCAUAAACUAUGCCGACUAGGGAUCGGACGAUGUUAUAUUUUGACUCGUUCGGCACCUUACGAGAAAUCAAAGUGCUUGGGCUCCAGGGGGAGUACGGUCGCAAGGCUGAAACUUAAAGAAAUUGACGGAAGGGCACCACCAGGGGUGGAGCCUGCGGCUUAAUUUGACUCAACACGGGGAAACUCACCAGGUCCAGACACAAUGAGGAUUGACAGAUUGAGAGCUCUUUCUUGAUUUUGUGGGUGGUGGUGCAUGGCCGUUCUUAGUUGGUGGAGUGAUUUGUCUGCUUAAUUGCGAUAACGAACGAGACCUUAACCUGCUAAAUAGCCCGUAUUGCUUUGGCAGUACGCUGGCUUCUUAGAGGGACUAUCGGCUCAAGCCGAUGGAAGUUUGAGGCAAUAACAGGUCUGUGAUGCCCUUAGAUGUUCUGGGCCCCACGCGCGCUACACUGACGGAGCCAGCGAGUACUUCCUUGGCCGAAAGGCCCGGGUAAUCUUGUUAAACUCCGUCGUGCUGGGGAUAGAGCAUUGCAAU